Molecule: long non-coding RNA, 608 nt
Organism: Poecilia latipinna (sailfin molly)
Lineage: Eukaryota; Metazoa; Chordata; Actinopteri; Cyprinodontiformes; Poeciliidae
Exons: 3
Source: RefSeq, a predicted model, not a curated record
AUGAGUAUUGAUCAACAUAACAUAAAGCUACACACAAUCUUAGCUUUUAACUCAUUCUCUGACUGCAGCCAAAAAUAAAGCUAACCUGUAGCUUAGAGUUGCACUCAACACCAUAAGGUGUUUCUGCUUCCUUGACUCAGAUCGCUCCACUUAAAAGGAAGGACAACAUAAAGCCAACCAUCUGUCUGCAGGUCCAUCUCAACCACAACGGUCAGCAUCAAAUCCCCGUGAGGCUGGAACAAUGAUAGCUGUCUUCAUACUUUUUGCUGCUUUUGUUGCAUCCGCUCUGGCAAAAGAAUCUAUCGAGUGCAAAUUUUAUGACUCCACUGGAACUCAACAGUGUUAUGGAUCAGAAGGACAGCAACUUAUUUUUCACCUUUCAAAGACAGAAAUGACAGAUUUUAGAUUGAGAAAAGAUGGCGAGUACGUAUUUUUAAUAACAUACAGUAAUGGGAAACUCAAGGGGAACUACGUCAGUCAGUUUGAGGAAAUCCAACCUGGAACAUUCAGUCUGGGAAACGCCGUGAAGAAACAUUCUGGACAUUACUCCUUUACAGAAUACGAUGCUGCUGGACAAAGCAUCAGGGACGUUCUUGUCCACAUAAAAA